This 497-nucleotide ribosomal RNA is filed under the name uncultured bacterium. Its description in RNAcentral is "partial 16S ribosomal RNA". It matches the Rfam family "Bacterial small subunit ribosomal RNA", at positions 28 to 507 of the family's 1533-position model. The record is from RNAcentral.
GAUGAACGCUGGCGGCGUGCCUAAUACAUGCAAGUCGAGCGAACAGACGAGGAGCUUGCUCCUCUGACGUUAGCGGCGGACGGGUGAGUAACACGUGGAUAACCUACCUAUAAGACUGGGGUAACUUCGGGAAACCGGAGCUAAUACCGGAUAAUAUAUUGAACCGCAUGGUUCAUUAGUGAAAGACGGUUUUGCUGUCACUUAUAGAUGGAUCCGCGCCGCAUUAGCUAGUUGGUAAGGUAACGGCUUACCAAGGCAACGAUGCGUAGCCGACCUGAGAGGGUGAUCGGCCACACUGGAACUGAGACACGGUCCAGACUCCUACGGGAGGCAGCAGUAGGGAAUCUUCCGCAAUGGGCGAAAGCCUGACGGAGCAACGCCGCGUGAGUGAUGAAGGUCUUCGGAUCGUAAAACUCUGUUAUUAGGGAAGAACAAAUGUGUAAGUAACUAUGCACGUCUUGACGGUACCUAAUCAGAAAGCCACGGCUAACUACGUG